CUCAAACAAUCCUGUGAUUCUUGUAGAUAGAUGCUCAAGAACUGUCCAGAGGAACAAUUCCAAAACAAACCAGGAGGCAGAGGGCACUGUAGGGUAGAGGAGCUCAAGGUGAGGUUUAUUGUGAUUCAGAAGAGCUGACUGGGGAGCACAGGCUUUACGGGCUUAUUUUCUAACAAUUUGUUUUCAACCGUUUUCUUUUCGGAAUAGCUUGGUCACAGGUUUGUUUGUUUGUUCAAUUCUACCGUCUUUCAGGAGAGUGAUUUAGUGUAUUUGCUGACUUAGUGCCCUGUGCAACUCAACUAGGGACACAUUUUCUGCUGCUUCUCAGUUUAUAAAAGCAUGGGAAGAUUUGAAAUCACAUUCUGGGCUCUGCACUUGUUUCUCUCUGACUCCAGAAAGCUGCUUGGUUACUAUUUGCCUUUUUGUUUGAGAAAUGAAGACCUGCAAGUAUGUUUUGGUUAUAUGAGCAACAAAUAACCCCCAGGUUCUUAUCUUCUACAGAGUACAGGGCACUUCUGUGAACAAAGUGCAGCGAUGUACAGCCAGUUGUGUGCUCCUCAGAGCUGUCCUGUUCUCCCAUGUCCUUCUGAUAAAGGUGGGAUGUAGUGGGCUAUGGUAAGUACUGCUGGAGCUGUGGGUGUUUGUAAAGGGUAAUGCAUCUCUAACAGGUACUGUCAGACUCUAGCCUAAAAAAGUUUAUGGGAUUGCCUUUGAAGCUGAUUGCAUUUGCCACAUUCAGCCUGCUUUCUUUUUCACUCCUGUCAGAUCCUGAGGGACUGUGCUUUCCCUGAAGCUGGCUGUCAAUGAGAGGUGCCAAAACAGGAAGUAAUGAAAGUGUACUCAUCCUAUCUCACAUGUGAGGCAGAGGAGUGUACAGCAGCAGGAGAUGAUGAUCCUAGUUCAGCUGGAGUGCAGUCACAUGCCAAGUCUGUCUUUCCUCAUGGUGCUCUCGAGGAUGAUCAUCUUCCAGAGACCACAGCAGGACUGAGUGUCUACUCAAGGAUGAGCAUGCGUUUAAGUGCUAUACCAAAGAGUGAUGCUUUCUUGAAUUAGGGCAGAAGUAUUCUGGGGAAGGAUAUGGAUAUCUGCCUCUGUUCUGCCGCGUCCAUUUGAUCUGCAGUUGUCUGCAUCCCUUUAUCAUGUAAGCCUUUCUUUCCAGGUAUGUAUGCAGUGUCCCUGCAGAGCAGCAGAGUGGUUCAGCCCAUGGCUCUGGAUGCUCUGUGCCCUCUCUUGGUGCAUUAAGCUCCCUAUGGCUCUGUUCCCUUUCCAAGAUCUGUAAUGCAAAUAACUAAUAAUAACAGCGCUGUUGCUGGGGGGAAAGAAUCCUCCUUGUGCGAGUAAAUUCACAUCAGAUGGAGUGGGAUGUCUGCAAACUUGAAAAUUAGAUCAGGGAGAACAAAGCAGAAGCAGUAAGCUUAUUAGAUUCACAGAGGCAGUUUUGUGCAAGCUUUCUGCUUCCUGGGAGAAGAAAUAUUUUUGAAAUGGGUUUGAUUGCUAAUCUGAUUAUGGCAGCUCAAAAGUUAAAGCGAAACAUGAAAUAAAUGAAGGCUUUUGGAGUUAUGAAUUAAUUAG
Long non-coding RNA from Coturnix japonica (Japanese quail), 1572 nucleotides. The record is from Ensembl. NCBI's taxonomy places the organism in Eukaryota, Metazoa, Chordata, Aves, Galliformes, Phasianidae.